RNAcentral lists this ribosomal RNA (253 nucleotides) under uncultured bacterium. RNAcentral describes it as "partial 16S ribosomal RNA". It matches the Rfam family "Bacterial small subunit ribosomal RNA", at positions 524 to 776 of the family's 1533-position model. The record is from RNAcentral.
UACGUAGGGGGCAAGCGUUGUCCGGAUUUAUUGGGCGUAAAGAGCGUGUAGGCGGCUAGGUAGGUCCGUUGUGAAAACUCGAGGCUCAACCUCGAGCUGUCGAUGGAAACCAUCUGGCUAGAGUCCGGAAGAGGAGAGUGGAAUUCCUGGUGUGGCGGUGAAAUGCGCAGAUAUCAGGAAGAACACCCGUGGCGAAGGCGGCUCUCUGGUACGUGACUGACGCUGAGACGCGAAAGCGUGGGGAGCGAACAGG